RNAcentral lists this unclassified non-coding RNA (1252 nucleotides) under Hevea brasiliensis (rubber tree). Lineage: Eukaryota; Viridiplantae; Streptophyta; Magnoliopsida; Malpighiales; Euphorbiaceae. The record is from RNAcentral.
AGAUCUUGCAGUUUUCUCAUUCUUUCACUAAUUCGUGUUCUUCUUACCCUCUCUGCGAUGCUUCGAGGGUGAGUAGCAAAGCCCCUUUUCGCUCGAAUCUUGCAGGGAAUAGAACCUUGAAAUUGCAGAAACUUCUCUACGGUAGCCAUCUCUGCAGCUGUCUUAGGCAAGCUCAGGUGGUGAGUCAGACCCGUCACGCGAUUUCCAGAAUUCUCACUCUGAUUGCCCAUCAUGUAUAGGCCAGAAAACACAUUCUCAUCAUUACUUCUAAACCGCUUAAAGUCAUUCGAUGAAGAAUCAUCCCAUGUGUCAUUUGCAAAAUUCAUGUACUGUCUCUUUCUAGUGUUCCCUUCAGGACUACUUGUACCAGGGUUUUCAUCUCCAAUUUCAGCAAUCUGAGGCAACAGCCUCUGCCCUGAAGGGAAAUUUAGAUGAUUGCUUAACCUACUUUUUGAUGGAUUAGCUUCUCCAUUCAAGCCAUUGCAAGCUCGAAAACCACCCACAUCUUCUGUUACAGUGAAGCCAUUGUCAACGCCUAGGUUGUAGAAAAAUCCAGCUGGAGAGCUGUUUUGCCUAACAAGAUUGGAUCCAUUCACAGUACUCAUCUUUGAAGCCUGCAUAGAUUUCUCCAGAGCCAUUGAAUUCAUAACACCGAAAGUGCUAUCCAGAGAAUUGCUGACAUCCACAGAAUUUCCAUUAUUAGCCAAAUUAUUGACUGGUGAACUUUGAUAAACCAUUUGUGAAUCAUCCAUUUCUUGCUUCAUUGCUGGUCUUUCUCCAUAUUCUUUCCAAUUCUGAGAAUUGGAAUCCCCUGAACCAUUAUAUGUUGACAUAAAUCUUGCCAACAUUGCAUCCAUCUCAGGGCUCGAAGGUCGGAAAUACUGAGAAUCUUCGACUUCAAUGCCACCGCCGCCACCAUUACCCCCAUGGCCACUGGUGCCAUUGACAAGGCUCUCAAUAAAUGAGCUUGGUGCUGACCGAUAACGCAUUAGGCCUGAAUUAUGCUGGUGUUGCUCUUGAUGAUAAUUAUGGUGAUUCAAAUCCAUGAGUUCUUGAUUCCUUCUAAGGAAUCAAGAACUCAUGGAUUUGAAACUAGGACUAUACAAAAGACUCAUGUCUUCUUGUUCUGAGGGUCCCUGAACAGCUAUUAGCAAUUCCAAAUGUAAAUAAUGCUUUGGUAUGCUUGAGCACCAGACCUCUAACCUUUGCUUAAUCUUCAAAGUUGCUUGCUUGUUCUUCAAUAGAAUAAAAU